UGGGGAAUAUUGCACAAUGGGCGAAAGCCUGAUGCAGCAACGCCGCGUGAGGGACGACGGGCCUUCGGGUUGUAAACCUCUUUUAGCAAGGAAGAAGCGAAAGUGACGGUACUUGCAGAAAAAGCGCCGGCUAACUACGUGCCAGCAGCCGCGGUAAUACGUAGGGCGCAAGCGUUAUCCGGAAUUAUUGGGGCGUAAAGAGCUCGUAGGCGGUUUGUCGCGUCUGCUGUGAAAACCCGAGGCUCAACCUCGGGCCUGCAGUGGGUACGGGCAGACUAGAGUGCGGUAGGGGAGAUUGGAACUCCUGGUGUAGCGGUGGAAUGCGCAGAUAUCAGGAAGAACACCGAUGGCGAAGGCAGAUCUCUGGGCCGUAACUGACGCUGAGGAGCGAAACGGGUGGGGAGCAAACAGGCUUAGAUACCCUGGUAGUCACCCCGUAAACGUUGGGAACUAGUUGUGGGGUCCAUUCCACGGAUUCCGUGACGCAGCUAACGCAUUAAGUUCCCCGCCUGGGGGAGUACGGCCGCAAGG
RNAcentral lists this ribosomal RNA (531 nucleotides) under uncultured bacterium. RNAcentral's name for it is "partial 16S ribosomal RNA". It matches the Rfam family "Bacterial small subunit ribosomal RNA", at positions 355 to 893 of the family's 1533-position model. The record is from RNAcentral.